CAGGGUCAGAGAUGUAGGUCCUGCAAAGGUCACAAUGCAGACAGGCCCUGCCAAAUCAGGGUCCAAGGAUACCUGGGUCAGUAAGCAAAGAAAGUCACGGUGGAAAUGGUUAUAAAUGCAUGGGGCCGUCAAAGCCAAUCAUCCACAAAGAAGUUGGGAGAAGUUGAAGAUCCUGUGGCUGUUGUAUUUGAUGGUGGCUCCAGGUACUUCAAAGUGGGGUAUGGCGGAGAACAAGCCCCCCGAUUUGUUUUCCCAUGCGUGGUUGGGUGCUACCAAAGGCAGAUCCUAUUCAGGCAUGCUUCGUCAAGUCCAGGGACA
RNAcentral lists this long non-coding RNA (318 nucleotides) under Phascolarctos cinereus (koala). RNAcentral describes it as "lncRNA (ENSPCIG00000037163.1)". Lineage: Eukaryota; Metazoa; Chordata; Mammalia; Diprotodontia; Phascolarctidae. The record is from RNAcentral.